Molecule: ribosomal RNA, 426 nt
Filed under: uncultured bacterium
Lineage: Bacteria
Description: bacterial SSU rRNA
Rfam family: Bacterial small subunit ribosomal RNA
Source: RNAcentral
GUGAGGAAUUUUCCGCAAUGGGCGAAAGCCUGACGGAGCAAUGCCGCGUGAAGGAUGAAGGCCUAUGGGUUGUAAACUUCUUUUCUCAGAAAAGAAUUAUGACGGUAUCUGAGGAAUAAGCAUCGGCUAACUCUGUGCCAGCAGCCGCGGUAAGACAGAGGAUGCAAGCGUUAUCCGGAAUGAUUUGGCGUAAAGCGUCUGUAGGUUGUUUAAAAAGUAUUCUGUCAAAGAUUAGGGCUUAACCCUAGAUAGGCAGAAUAAACUUUUAAGCUAGAGUUUGAUAGAGGCAGAGGGAAUUCCCGGUGGAGCGGUGAAAUGCGUAGAUAUCGGGAGGAACACCAAAGGCGAAGGCACUCUGCUGGGCCAAUACUAACACUGAGAGACGAAAGCGAGGGGAGCAAAUGGGAUUAGAAACCCCUGUAGUCC